CCGCCGGCCCGCCGAGGCCGCGGGCGGGCGAUCGGACCGUCCCGAGACCACCGGAGCGGACUGUUUGAAACUCACCAUGUCCCAACUGCGCCGGCGACAUCCUCCCUGCCCAGGCGCCCCAGGAGGAGCUGCGGCCGCGGAGCGCGCUUGGCCCGGAACGGAAACCCGGGUCUGCGGCCUCGCCCCUCGGACCCCAGCUCCCCUCUGCAGGCCCUGCAUCCUCCCCCAACGCAGCCGAGCCUCAGUGUCCUGAUCCGGGAAGUGGGCGCACAACGCCUGGCUGAGUGGUGACCUGUCCGAACUCAGCUCAGCCUUCCGCGCCGGGCCGGGACACAAAGGGACCGCUCUUCUGGCAGAUCCCCAUCUAGGGGAUCAUCGCCACAACGGGCUCGUGAUGUCUCCAUCGUGCCAAACUCGCAGCAAUAGCUGUCUUUUUCUGGAUCUUGGAGUUAGAAAAACAGCUACAGCAAAAGACCCCUGAAGGAAGCGCUUUGUCCCGAACACUCGCGAAUCCUCACAUGUGGCCCCACGCUGGCCCUCUGAACUUCUCCCCGGGAUGCCCACUUGAGGGACGGAAGUCGCAUCUCCCUGGGAGCCAGCGACUUCCCCCGAGGCGGCGUAGCAGGAAGUCCUGUCCCCUACGGUGAAAAUCCAGACCCAGAGCUGUGGGAGGCCUCAGAGUGCCCAGGGGCCCUGGGAGCACAAAGGAUUGUUGCCGCCGCGAGGACUCCGCUCUGAAGGAGCUGCCGGCCCAGGCCCGCAGCCGUGGGCUAUGUUGUAGCCCGGUAGAAGUGCACUUGCCCCAGAACAUUUGGGAUCUUGAGUUCCCAUUCAAGCCUGCAAAAAGAAGCAGAACCCAUGGGCAUGUGUGCUCCAGGUGUCACUCCUCGUGCCCUCUGGGACCUGGCUCCUGUGAUGAUCAAGCAAGACUGGGCGUUCCUGGAUCGGGUUGGCAGCAGCCUCCAGAUGCGCUCCUGACUGUUCCUGGUACGUGGCUGCCAG
Molecule: long non-coding RNA, 1002 nt
Filed under: Cavia porcellus (domestic guinea pig)
Lineage: Eukaryota; Metazoa; Chordata; Mammalia; Rodentia; Caviidae
Description: lncRNA (ENSCPOG00000034601.1)
Source: RNAcentral